GACGAACGCUGGCGGCGUGCCUAAUACAUGCCAGUUGAGCGAUGAAGAUUGGUGCUUGCACCAAUUUGAAGAGCAGCGAACGGGUGAGUAACGCGUGGGGAAUCUGCCUUUGAGCGGGGGGCAACAUUUGGAAACGAAUGCUAAUACCGCAUAACAACUUUAAACAUAAGUUUUAAGUUUGAAAGAUGCAAUUGCAUCACUCAAAGAUGAUCCCGCGUUGUAUUAGCUAGUUGGUGAGGUAAAGGCUCACCAAGGCGAUGAUACAUAGCCGACCUGAGAGGGUGAUCGGCCACAUUGGGACUGAGACACGGCCCAAACUCCUACGGGAGGCAGCAGUAGGGAAUCUUCGGCAAUGGACGAAAGUCUGACCGAGCAACGCCGCGUGAGUGAAGAAGGUUUUCGGAUCGUAAAACUCUGUUGGUAGAGAAGAACGUUGGUGAGAGUGGAAAGCUCAUCAAGUGACGGUAACUACCCAGAAAGGGACGGCUAACUACGUG
Molecule: ribosomal RNA, 497 nt
Filed under: uncultured bacterium
Lineage: Bacteria
Description: partial 16S ribosomal RNA
Rfam family: Bacterial small subunit ribosomal RNA
Source: RNAcentral